CUUUGAUACAAAUAAAUAUUAGUCAUCAUGUUUUAUAGAAACUUAUAUUGUUUUGACUUAUUUGUGAUGUUUUUGUUCAUUACUAAGAUGACUGGAACAAAGCUGGUGCCCACACAAACUAUAGGUAAGACUGUUAACUUAUAAAAAUCGGCUUCUGAUCUUCUGCAUGUUUGAACUAACCAUUGUACUUUGGGUGAUUAUGUGUACAGUGUUUGAUUGUAGUUAAGGAAAUACUUUGUCUUCACAGAUUUGUAGUUAAAAUGAUAGUUAAGGUGUAGAUAGAUAAGAUUUUUCCUGUCGAUGAAAGAUUUAGCAUAUUAUGAGCAAUUCUUCAAAAGUUUGACACCAGUUUCAGUGCAACGAAUUUCUAUAGUCUACAAGAAAAAUCGCAGCUGGAAGAGAGUUACAG
This 409-nucleotide long non-coding RNA is filed under the name Olea europaea subsp. europaea. Lineage: Eukaryota; Viridiplantae; Streptophyta; Magnoliopsida; Lamiales; Oleaceae. The record is from RNAcentral.